UCUUUCAGAAUUUUCCACAGUUUAUUGUGAUCCACACAGUCAAAGGCUUUGGCAUAGUCAAUAAAGCAGAAAUAGAUGUUUGUAAAGGCCCUUCAAACGGUCCUUUCUUUUUGAGAUUGGCUGUCUCAUUCAGUAACUAAAGACUGUGAUAAAUAACAGCACAGAAUGUGGAAGCUGGAGAGAAAAGGCUAGUGGAAAUGUGAACCUGGCUGUUCAAGAGCAGAGCUGAGCUUAUUUGCAUAGUAGCAGGUGUGGUUACUUAUUUAUGAAGCACAUUUCCUCUGAGGUGUGGAAAAUGGGCUAGCUGUGAACCUGAUCCCGGCCUUAGAACGCUGACAGUGAGGAGGCAGAGCCCAGUCUGACCCCCCACAGUUCUCCCCCUCUGGUGCUCCUGGUAAUUCCCUGAGCUUCCCUUGUAUUCCCUUCUUGCUAGACAAUGAGGUCCUGAAGGGCAGGGACAGUGUUUGGUCACCAUUGUUUUCCUGUGCCCAGAGUCUCCCUGGCAAUAGGCAGGCCUUCAGUAAAUACAUAUAUCAUGAGUGAAUUUGGCAGACAAGCUUGCAACUACCCAGAAGCUGGAGGGAGGUAAACACAAAAGGGGAGGCGAGGCCUUGGAGUUCCCAGACACCCACCCUGAAACAAGGAAGUAAUGCUAGAAACAGAUGGACAGAAGAAGCACCAUUUGAAGAAAGGGUCAGCUGUGGACCUCCUAUAGGAGAAAAGCCCCAAACAAACUUGACACUCUUUCAAGUGCAUGGUUUGACUCCUCCAGAACAAGGAAAACAAAACAAAACAACCCUAAGUAAUCCACUCCCCGCCAAUAAAAACGCCUACCCCAAACAGCAAUUGCUCCAGACUCAUACAGCGUCCUCGUUACACAGUGGAAAGAACAAAGACGUGAUUUAAGCAUCUUGAAAUUGAAAUAGCAAUUGCCAAACACCAGAGGAUCAGCAGAAUCAUUAGAUUCCAGAAAAUGCAGAACCUCUGAGGCCUCUGUAUUCUUCCAUUCUGAUGUCAGAUUACUGGCAGCCCACGCUGAGCUGCCUUAUAAGAAAGUGCAGCUAGGCCACUAGAAAGAAGCAGAGGAAGGAGGGGCCAGCUGGCAUUGCUGGGGUUUGGAAGCUCUGCACUGCAGAUUCUGUUAACCAACACUGGACACUGUCUUCCUCUGCUCUCAGUGACCAGUGAGGCCAAGGCGGGCCACUUCAGCUGACUAGACACAGAUGUAGAUGUCUAUAAGUUUACCAGUCAGAGGCCUGCCAGGAAAACAGAAUUUAUCCCAGGUGAUUCAAAUAGAAAGACAAAUAAAAAGGAUCGACAGCAGUGAGCAUGAGGGAAACAGAUAAGGAGCAUUGUGGUACCUGAAGACUUGCGUCAGGGGGCGCCAUUACUUCUGUAAGGGCAAAGAGCAGGAGGACCUCUCGGUGCCUGACCUAGCAGGACUGCAGCUAUGAGGAAGGGCUUCCAGAGAUGGGGCUCCAGAACAGGGAGGGAGUGGAGAAGAAAUCCCUGCCCAUUUCUCCCGCUUCCUGUUGACAAAACCAGAAGCCAGCCAGCGAGGGUGCUCGCAAUGGCACUUUCCUCAAGGGUCAGCUCCUGAAGUUGAGAAUACAUGGAGGGUUGUAGUCCCAAUCCUGAGCAGGAGUCUCCAUGUGCAUCAAGUACUGGGUCAGCACUGUCCUCUGAUAAGAGACCAGCUUGUGUUUGCUCAGAAAUAACGCCCAGGGCCUGGAACAGGAAAGGAUAUAAGUGGGAAGAACACAAGGCCUUCAUCCACAGCCGCUGCCCUCACUGAGACUGCAAACACAGUUCAUUUUCUAAACGAUGGACUCCUCCAUAAAGGGGCAAAGUAAAGCAACAUCCAGAGCUGGAGAAAAAAAAUUCUCUCAUCCUCAGCACGCUGUUUGGUCUUUGCUUCUCCCAGGCACCAGCCCUUUGGCUUGAUGUCAGAUCAGUGUGGCUAGAAGCAUAAACUGGGUGAAGCAGAGGGUCAAUUAUUUGGAAGAGUUUAAAAAGGAUUGGAAUUCACCAGUGAAGCUAUCUAGUCCUGAACUUUUCUUUGUUGGUUGUCCAAUUUGCUGGGCUAUAAUGUGGCGCUGUGAUAAAGAGACUGCCUGCCAAAGCAAGAAACGUGGUCUCGAUCUCUGGGUUGGGAAGAUCCCCUGGAGUAGGAAUUGGCAACCCAUUCCAGUAUUCUUGCCUGGGAAAUUCCAUGGACAGAGAAGCCUGGUAGGCUACAGUCCAUGGGGCCACAAAGAGUCAGACAUGACUGAGCGACUGAACACAGCACAGUUGUUCAGAGUAGUCUCUUAGGAUCCUUUGUAUUUCUGUGGUAUCAGUUGUAAUGUCUCCUCUUUCCUUUAUAAUUUUAUUUAUUUGAAUUCUCUGUCUUCUUUUUUUCUUGGUAGGUCAAACUGAAAUUCUAACACUGGAUAUUAUCUGUUUUUUUAAUGUUUGCUAGUUUGAUGAACUAUAACAUUUUAGUGUUUUAAUUGUAUUUUUGUUUACUGUGAGAAAUGGAAUAUUUUCCUUUGCCGUUUUCCAUUUCUAUUUCUUUUACUAUGAAGUACCUCUUUAUAUUCUUUCCCCCUUUUUAUUAAAUGGUUCACCUUAU
Molecule: long non-coding RNA, 2614 nt
Organism: Bubalus bubalis (water buffalo)
Lineage: Eukaryota; Metazoa; Chordata; Mammalia; Artiodactyla; Bovidae
Exons: 5
Source: RefSeq, a predicted model, not a curated record